Molecule: ribosomal RNA, 326 nt
Filed under: uncultured eukaryote
Lineage: Eukaryota
Description: partial 18S ribosomal RNA
Rfam family: Eukaryotic small subunit ribosomal RNA
Source: RNAcentral
CCCUUAGAUGUUCUGGGCCGCACGCGCGCUACACUGAUGCAUUCAACGAGUUUCUUCCUGGUCCGAGAGGAAUGGGUAACCUUUUGAAAGUGCAUCGUGAUAGGGAUAGACUAUUGCAAUUAUUGGUCUUCAACGAGGAAUUCCUAGUAGACGUAGUUCAUCAGACUGCAUUGAUUACGUCCCUGCCCUUUGUACACACCGCCCGUCGCACCUACCGAUUGAAUGGUCCGGUGAAGCCUCGGGAUUGUGGCCAGUUCACUUUAUUGGGAGUUGGCUGUGAGAACUUGUCUAAACCUUAUCAUUUAGAGGAAGGUGAAGUCGUAACA